AGCGAACGCUGGCGGCAGGCCUAACACAUGCAAGUCGAACGAACCUAUCGGGGUUAGUGGCGGACGGGUGAGUAACACGUGGGAACGUGCCUUCAUGUUCGGAAUAACUCAGGGAAACUUGUGCUAAUACCGAACGUGCCCUUCGGGGGAAAGAUUUAUUGCCUUUAGAGCGGCCCGCGUCGGAUUAGCUAGUUGGUUGAGGUAAUGGUUCACCAAGGCGACGUUCAGUAGAUGGUCUGAGAGGAUGAUCAGCCACAUUGGGACUGAGACGCAGCCGAAACUCCUACGGGAGGCAGCAGUGGGGAAUCUUGCGAAAUGGGCGAAAGGCUGACGCAGCCAUGCCGGGUGAAUGAUGAAAGUCUUAGGAUUGUAAAAUUCUUUCACCGGGGACGAUAAUGACGGUACCCGGAGAAGAAGCCCCGGCUAACUUCGUG
RNAcentral lists this ribosomal RNA (434 nucleotides) under uncultured bacterium. RNAcentral's name for it is "partial 16S ribosomal RNA". It matches the Rfam family "Bacterial small subunit ribosomal RNA", at positions 29 to 507 of the family's 1533-position model. The record is from RNAcentral.